CUGCAGUCUUACUGCUCAAUUCCCUGCCAUUUAGGAGUUAAAUCAAUUUGUUUAUGAACCCCAAUCACAUCUCCCUGCAUGUGACUUGCACAGCCUCCCUAAACACUUCCUUUAAAGAGUCAUCUACAAUGUAUCCUUCCUUUAUUGCAAGUUCUGUUACAUUUAGAAUUCCUUAUCCCCUGCUAUGUUAAUAGCUUGCUAGACCCUGCAACAGACUAUAAUGUGAU
Molecule: non-coding RNA, 227 nt
Organism: Pelobates cultripes (western spadefoot toad)
Lineage: Eukaryota; Metazoa; Chordata; Amphibia; Anura; Pelobatidae
Source: the annotation of a GenBank genome assembly